This is a long non-coding RNA of Epinephelus lanceolatus (giant grouper), 1478 nucleotides long. RefSeq lists it as uncharacterized. Lineage: Eukaryota; Metazoa; Chordata; Actinopteri; Perciformes; Serranidae. The record is from RefSeq and is a predicted model, not a curated record.
GAUUUCGGACAAAGCCCAUGUAGCUUACACUGUACGCAUGCGCAGAACCGUAAAUCACACAUCGCGAUAGUUUAUCUGGCACACGACCGUUGACCACACUGUAACAGACCACUGAGACCUCGGAGAUGUUUUCUUUUCAUUUUAACCUCGAUGAUUACAAGGCAUCACAUGACCCGGAAGAGUCAACGAGUCACACUCGCUUCAUCUGUUUCUUUACUAUAAUGUGCUUUUUGGCAAUUCUGUCUAUUGCCGUUCGUCGUACUUUAAUCUUAUUACCUCAACUGCCCUAAAACAUUUGUUAAGCUUCUAAACCCGUCACUUAGAACAACCAUACGGUGAAUAACCCUGUCACACUUGCUAUGCUAUAGUAUCGCUUCCUUGUCUUUGGACAUCGAUUAAGUGUAAUAUCUAUUCUCACUUGAGUCAAUCUCAAAUGGUUUCAUAGCUACUGUAGCUGUGCACGAAACGAAACCAGUUUUUGGGAUGGGGAGUUGGAUUAGAGUUCGCUUUGUCCACUCCACGCAUCGACCUGGUAUUGCAGUACCUCCAGGCACGGUGCACCACCCUAUUAAUGUUGAAUAUUAAACAGGACAUUAUUCAGAGAUCCAUAAUGACGAAAUUUAACAGUAUCAUAUGUAUAAUAAGUUUGUUUUUUGCAAGCAGCACACCGGUUUGUGAUCUGUACAUUUAGCAGUAUUUUAAUUUUUUUGUGACAGUUGUUAUUAAUGAUUAACUUUUUUAGGAUUUAUUUUGUCCUCAGACGUCUUCAGGUGUGACACCAUACACAAAUGCCAUACUUCAGUCAUACUGAUGAUCUGUGUGUGUCAUUGUAUAUAUUGGUUGCAUCUGUUUUCACCCUACUGGUAGAGAGAUUUGUUAUAUUUAGCACCCAACUGUCAAGUAGGAACAGUCUCUUUUUUUGUACUCAUUUCAUCUUUGAAAUGUUAUUUGUUUUAAAUAUUUUGUCAUUGUCUGUGAAGCACUUUGGGCUGCAUGAUUGUAUAAACGGUGCUAUAUAAAUAAAGUUUAAUUUGAUUUUUGAUUUGCUGUAAGCUAUUUCUUCCAUUUUUCAUCUUACUGUUUGCUAGUGUUUAUAUUAUAUAUUGAACCUUACUGUGACCUAGUUCUUAUAUUCUACACCUUAAUCUAGUUUAUUUAGGUUUAUAUUUGCUAUACCUUGCUUUUUCUACUUUGUAGUCUAUAUUGCAUGCUUUGUAUUGGGAUAAAUAAAGUUCUGCCUUAUCUUCAUUCUUGUUAUAAGAGCAGGAGGCUGCAAAAGGGAGACAUGUAAUUCAUAUCACUGUAAACAGAUCAAAACAAUAACUUGUUGAGUGAGACAAGAUUGAUAAAGAAAACGUGUUGUGUUCAUUGUCCUUUCAAGGCUGCAUGUGAGGAAAAAUAUAAAUAAUAUUGUUCUUUUUUCUUCUGCUUUGUUUGAUUGUGUUGUUAAGCGUCAUUAAACUUCAAUUUGAAUUGAA